AUGAUUGCUCAGCUGACAACGAGUGAAAUGGCAUAUUAUAGUGCAGAUUCAAUUGAUGAUAGUUGUCCUAAUCAAUCUACUCUAGAAGCAUUAUAUCCAACAGAGUUCCUAAACAAAAUUGAAAUGCUGGGACUUCCAGACCAUGCAUUACAUUUGAAAAUUGGCGUACCUAUCAUGCUUCUGCGUAAUCUUGAUCCAUCAAGGGGACUAUGUAAUGGUACUAGACUCAUUGUUACACAACUAACUGGCCGUGUCAUAGAAGGACAAAUCAUAACAGGAAAAGCUAUAGGUUCAAAGGUAUAUAUUCCUUGGAUUGUCACUACAUCAGAUCAAUCUAAGUGGCCUUUCAAAUUGAGGCGUCGCCAGUUUCCUAUUCGCGUCUCAUACGCUAUGACAAUAAACAAAAGUCAGGGGCAAACACUAAACCGAGUUGGUGUCUACUUACCAUCUCAUGUCUUCUCCCAUGGCCAAUUAUAUGUAGCAUUUUCAAGGGUUACAUCACCAGACGGUUUGCGGGUUCUGAUUGAAAAUAGCCCUGUUUCUUAUGAGCAUUGCACGCAUAAUGUAGUGUAUGCAGAAGUUUUUAGUCAAAUUAAUAGGCGCAGAAGCUAA
Molecule: ribosomal RNA, 612 nt
Filed under: Triticum aestivum (bread wheat)
Lineage: Eukaryota; Viridiplantae; Streptophyta; Magnoliopsida; Poales; Poaceae
Description: partial small subunit ribosomal RNA
Source: RNAcentral